GACGAACGCUGGCGGCGUGCCUAACACAUGCAAGUCGAACGGAGUAAGAGACUUCGGUUUUUUACUUAGUGGCGAACGGGUGAGUAACGCGUGAGAAACCUACCUUUCAGUGGGGGACAACAGUUGGAAACGACUGCUAAUACCGCAUAAUGUCAUUUGGGGGCAUCCCCGAAUGACCAAAGCUUUAUGUGCUGAAAGAUGGUCUCGCGUCUGAUUAGCUAGAUGGCGGGGUAACGGCCCACCAUGGCGACGAUCAGUAGCCGGUCUGAGAGGAUGAACGGCCACAUUGGGACUGAGAUACGGCCCAGACUCCUACGGGAGGCAGCAGUGGGGAAUAUUGGGCAAUGGGGGAAACCCUGACCCAGCAACGCCGCGUGAAGGAAGAAGGCCUUCGGGUUGUAAACUUCUUUUACCAGGGACGAAGAACGUGACGGUACCUGGAGAAAAAGCAACGGCUAACUACGUG
Molecule: ribosomal RNA, 466 nt
Filed under: uncultured bacterium
Lineage: Bacteria
Description: bacterial SSU rRNA
Rfam family: Bacterial small subunit ribosomal RNA
Source: RNAcentral